AUGGCCUGGGCUCCGCUCUUCCUCACCCUCUUUGCUCACUGCACAGGGUCUUGGGCUGAGGUUGUGUUCACUCAGCCCCAAUCUGUGUCAGGGUCUCUGGGGCAGACAGUCACCAUCUCCUGCACCCGCAGCAGUGGCAGCAUUGAUGAUAGAUAUGUGUACUGGUACCAGCAGCGCCCGGGCAGUGCCCCCACCACUGUGAUUUAUGAGGAUAACCAAAGACCCUCAGGUGUUCCUGAUCGGUUCUCUGGCUCCGUCGACAGCUCCUCCAAUGUUGCCUCCUUGACCGUCUCUGGGCUGCAGCCUGAGGACGAGGCCGACUACUACUGUCAGUCUUAUGAUGGCAACAACAAUCACACAGUGCACCAGAGCCAUGGGGAACUGGAAAUUCACUCAGGGCCUCCAGGUUCAGCUAUCAGUGUGUCUAUUGGACCGUGUUUGUGCAACUACGCUGACCUCCCAGUAGUAGCCAGGAAUCAUCAUGGGCCAGGCCACCUCCACCUACUGGAUCAGCUCAUCUCCUCCUCCCUCUUCUGA
Non-coding RNA from Cynocephalus volans (Philippine flying lemur), 537 nucleotides. Lineage: Eukaryota; Metazoa; Chordata; Mammalia; Dermoptera; Cynocephalidae. The record is from the annotation of a RefSeq genome assembly.